RNAcentral lists this ribosomal RNA (390 nucleotides) under uncultured bacterium. RNAcentral describes it as "partial 16S ribosomal RNA". It matches the Rfam family "Bacterial small subunit ribosomal RNA", at positions 523 to 916 of the family's 1533-position model. The record is from RNAcentral.
AUACGGAGGAUCCGAGCGUUAUCCGGAUUUAUUGGGUUUAAAGGGUGCGCAGGCGGCCAUUUAAGUCAGCGGUUAAAUCGUGGGGCUCAACCCCAUUCUGCCGUUGAUACUGGGUGGCUUGAUUGCGGUCGAGGUUGGCGGAAUUCGUUGUGUAGCGGGGAAAUGCAUAGAUAUGACGAAGAACACCGAUUGCGUAGGCAGCUGACCAGACCGCAAAUGACGCUCAUGCACGAAAGUGCGGGGAUCGAACAGGAUUAGAUACCCUGGUAGUCCGCACAGUAAACGAUGAAUACUUGUUUUCGGCGAUAUAAUGUCGGAGGCAAAGCGAAAGCGAUAAGUAUUCCACCUGGGGAGUACGCCGGCAACGGUGAAACUCAAAUGAAUUGACGG